Molecule: ribosomal RNA, 404 nt
Filed under: uncultured bacterium
Lineage: Bacteria
Description: bacterial SSU rRNA
Rfam family: Bacterial small subunit ribosomal RNA
Source: RNAcentral
UGGGGAAUAUUGCACAAUGGGGGGAACCCUGAUGCAGCGACGCCGCGUGAGUGAAGAAGUAUUUCGGUAUGUAAAGCUCUAUCAGCAGGGACGAAGAUGACGGUACCUGCAGAAGAAGCCCCGGCUAACUACGUGCCAGCAGCCGCGGUAAUACGUAGGGGGCAAGCGUUAUCCGGAUUUACUGGGUGUAAAGGGAGCGUAGACGGCAGGGCAAGCCAGAAGUGAAAACGCAGAGCUUAACUUUGCGACUGCUUUUGGAACUGCCCAGCUAGAGUACAGGAGAGGUAAGUGGAAUUCCUAGUGUAGCGGUGAAAUGCGUAGAUAUUAGGAGGAACACCAGUGGCGAAGGCGGCUUACUGGACUGAGACUGACGUUGAGGCUCGAAAGCGUGGGGAGCAAACAGG